RNAcentral lists this non-coding RNA (42 nucleotides) under Ursus maritimus (polar bear). Its description in RNAcentral is "XIST RNA A repeat (ENSUMAG00000021828.1)". It matches the Rfam family "XIST RNA A repeat". The record is from Rfam by way of RNAcentral. Lineage: Eukaryota; Metazoa; Chordata; Mammalia; Carnivora; Ursidae.
UGGCCCAUCGGGGCAAUGGAUACCUGCUUAAAAAAAAUUUUU